UUGAACAGUCUUCUGGAGAAAAAACAAAUAUUUGGAAGAUAAAAGAAGAAAAGAUAAAUGAGCAGAAAUGUAGGCAGGUCCUGUGGUUCAGUCAAGGAACUGAAACCAAAAAUAACUCGGAGACCCAGGAUAAGCCAAACUGAAUUUGGGGACUUGAAUCCUCAGUCCCACCAGAGUCUGUGGAAGGUCAUCUUAAGGCCAUACUGUGACUUUACUGAAUGUGACUACCCAUUCAGCAGCCUAUGAGGCAGGAGUCGCCAGGCUGAGGUCCCCAGGCUGAGUCCCCAAGCUUCAGUAGUUUGUCUGAUGCCCCCACCCAAAUACCACGCAUACCGUCAUGUGCUGAUGCAAAACGGCAUUUGUGAGCAGUCUCAACUUGGUUUCAAUCACGGAUUUCACGAAAGGAACACUUUAAAAUUGGAUUUGAACUCCACAGCUCCCAGGAUAGGGCAGAGCUGGAUGGAAACAUCUGGAGAUGUACCCGGGAACAGGGCCCACCAUGUUCCUCGGGAGGAAAUCGAGGCGGCAAGAUUGACGCCCAAGGACUCAUCCAGCCAGUUGACACAAGCCUAGAACCUUCCACCUGACUUCCAACCAAUACUCUUUCCAGCCCGGGCUGUCAUCACACGUGAUGUUUUGCUUCAUGUACAAAAUAAGGCCCCUCAGAACCUUUCCCGGAACUGGACCUUUGGACCUCAAAAUGGUUUAAUGCACUUUUGAGAAGGGAGAGCCACAAGGCCUCUAAGUGGUUUUGAUCAAGUUUGCCAAUAUUUACACCGUUGGAUAAUCUGCAUGAACUUCAUAAAUAAUGUAAAUUCCUACAAAGCGAGUUAACCGUGAGCUACGGUGGUCUUUCGAAAAAUCCAUGUUACACAAUCAUCCUGACAAAGUUAACAACUCGAUGGAAUACCGAAGGUAACCACUGAUUGCACUCGCUGCCAUUGACCAUUUUAAGUGUGACUAUUUUUAAAAUACUGUAUGCCUCAUUACGCUGGGCUCUGAAAAUGAGAAAUUUGCUUUAACUGCAUUGUUUUGAAUUGCUGAGAGAAGAAUCUAUCAACCACAAGGUGCCCUGCUGCUGAACUCAGCCAAAAAGCUGUUAAUAACCCCAGCAGAUGUUUCAGCUUUUUAGGCCAAUAGACUCCCUCUCUCCCUGCCCUCCCCUUUCUAGAAUCUGAUGCCAAUAUGACUGAACUCCAGUUUCUGUGGUUGCUGCCUCCGUGGCCGCCUCCACCAGAGUCAGUGAUACUAGAGCUGCUGAGGAAUUGAUUCUUUAAACAACCAGUCGCAACACAGCCCCAGCCCUUUAAGGUCAGAGCAUUAUUGCUUUUACCGUUAGAAGUUUAAAUCUUCAGGGGGGAAAUGAAGGUAAGGGCACCGAAUCCAUAGUCCUGUUCUGUCGUCUGCCUUCAUUGCCAGUCAUCUCAUUCCACUUGUUGUGGUUUGUCCCCACGCUCAGAGUCCAUUUCUCAGACUGAUCAGGGCAUUGGGCUUGCCGGGUAGAGGUCAUUAAUACAUCGAGUCCCCACCGGUCGCUGAGGGAUGUUGGGUUAGCAGCUUUACAAAGGGGGCCUCUGUGUGAUGUGCAGUUUGGGAUGGUUGUUUGCCUAAUACCGCAAGGCUCAGAAUGCCCUGACCUUAGCAGUUCUGCAAUAUUAGAAGUGUGUAUUAUAAAUACAGCUACAUCCCUGUGAGAUGGGUACAAUAUGAGGGCAUAUGGGGCCACGGCAAUCCCAGAUGGGGAUUUGUCAACUUCUCUGGACAAACCUUACGUCUUAACUUGAAAUUAAAUCUACAUUCCAAGGCUUUCCAAAUGAGAAGACAUUUUUUAAAAAGGGGAGGGGAAGAUGCUCCCCCUUCUCCCACUCGCCUGCCCGCCUCCCCAUACUCACUUAUUUCGGAAAGAGCGCUUUAAGGCACCCCAGUGACAGCAGGGUGACCAAGAAAACACAGGUGCACCACGUUUAUGGAACAUCACGUUGGCUAGGAACACAUCCGAACUGCGCAUCUAUACAUAUCACCAUGCAGAGAAUUGCCAUUUCAAAGGGGGAAAAAUUGAAAAGCAGAAUUAAGUUCAUAAAUACUUGGUUUCCUUAUUUUGAUGCAACACAAAGGCAGAAUAUCCAGGACCCUGUGGACCCCUAUUGUCAGCUUCAGCAUUCGCCAACCACAGUAAUUCAACCCCAAAAUCUCCGCUCUACACCACGCAGGCUAUAAAAAGAGAGGGAUGAACAUAUUUGUACACUGAGGGGAACAGCCAAUGGAGCAUCGGAGCAGAGCAGUGCUCAAGGAAUGUUUACAGCUAAGGAGGCUCCAUGGAGGAUUGCUUGAAGGACAUGAAGUCCAUCUGUCUCCCUAGAUAGUUUAGAUUAUAUCUCAAGGUCAAGAAAGAUCAGACAUACACCCCGAUUCUGUUUCUGUGGCUCUCCAGUCCCCACCACAAGGAGAGAGAGAGCGUUUCCUUGGGGACUCAGAAGUGACUUCUAUACUCCGGGAGGCUCUUGGGUAAGUAACUGCAGAGCCCUCUGAAUGGCUUUAUGAGUGCCUUGCUUUUAGAAGGAUGCAGGAAAAAAGUGUCCAAUC
Prionailurus viverrinus (fishing cat) is the source of this 2583-nucleotide long non-coding RNA. RefSeq lists it as uncharacterized. Lineage: Eukaryota; Metazoa; Chordata; Mammalia; Carnivora; Felidae. The record is from RefSeq and is a predicted model, not a curated record. The transcript has 6 exons.